Molecule: ribosomal RNA, 254 nt
Filed under: uncultured bacterium
Lineage: Bacteria
Description: partial 16S ribosomal RNA
Rfam family: Bacterial small subunit ribosomal RNA
Source: RNAcentral
UACGUAGGGUGCGAGCGUUGUCCGGAAUUAUUGGGCGUAAAGAGCUCGUAGGCGGUGUGUCGCGUCGGCCGUGAAAACCUGGGGCUCAACUCUGGGCGUGCGGUCGAUACGGGCAUCACUUGAGUUCGGCAGGGGAGACUGGAAUUCCUGGUGUAGCGGUGAAAUGCGCAGAUAUCAGGAGGAACACCGGUGGCGAAGGCGGUUCUCUGGGCAUGUCCUGACGCUGAGGAGCGAAAGUGUGGGGAGCGAACAGG